RNAcentral lists this long non-coding RNA (764 nucleotides) under Androctonus crassicauda. Lineage: Eukaryota; Metazoa; Arthropoda; Arachnida; Scorpiones; Buthidae. The record is from RNAcentral.
GCUGCGUUUCCGCCCUGGGCCGGUUCGCUCCCGUUAGUGGCAGAAACGAUCAAAAUUACCGUUUAGGUCCGACGAUUUUGCUACCGAGUAUGAUUUUUAAUUUUCCACCUCCGCCAUUCAUAUUUAAUGUGUUAAAAUUUGAUUUUUCACUUCUAAAAAUAACAGGCCUGAUUCAGUUGACGGUCACGUUCAGUGUUAAUUAACGGUCAGUUCUACAGUAAUCGUAUAAAAAAGAAUAAUUUUAUCUGUGCUCGACCGGACCGUAAUGCCUAACGUAGUAGUUUGUAAGCAAGCUAACGUGUCGACUGGUAAAGAAAGAUAAACGCCAUAUUCGGAUGUUUACCCGUUUAACGAGAGAACAAAUUUCCGGAAAAGGAACGUUUCGACUUUAUAAAUCUUUAGGAAGCUAACCAGAUGAUGGUGAUUUACAGAUAGACUUUAUAUUAUGCAUUUUGUAGAGUACUUUUUCUUGUUGUAAUAUAUGUAUAGUAUAUUCGUUCAAAGAUAAAUCAAAAUGACGGGCAUGAAUUGUUACCGUGUCUCGAAAAUGAAAAAGAAACCCUGUAAAAUGUGUCAUAAGUUGAAAAAAUGUUGUUAUAAAUUGUUUUUAAUGUGUAAACGACGCAAAAAAAAAUGGCAAGAAUUAAUAACAGCCAUUUUUUACGUAUUAUCUCAUUAUGUAAUAUUUAAUCUCAGUUUGUUGGUGAAAUAUUUUUUAAAAUGAAACUUUAUGUACCGGUAUCAAAUAAAUAAAUUAUAACGAU